UGGGGAAUAUUGCACAAUGGGCGGAAGCCUGAUGCAGCGACGCCGCGUGGGGGAUGAAGGCCUUCGGGUUGUAAACUCCUUUCGACAGGGACGAAGCUUUUGUGACGGUACCUGUAUAAGAAGCACCGGCUAACUACGUGCCAGCAGCCGCGGUAAUACGUAGGGUGCGAGCGUUGUCCGGAAUUACUGGGCGUAAAGAGCUCGUAGGUGGUUUGUCGCGUCGUCUGUGAAAUUCCGGGGCUUAACUCCGGGCGUGCAGGCGAUACGGGCUGACUUGAGUGCUGUAGGGGAGACUGGAAUUCCUGGUGUAGCGGUGAAAUGCGCAGAUAUCAGGAGGAACACCGAUGGCGAAGGCAGGUCUCUGGGCAGUAACUGACGCUGAGGAGCGAAAGCAUGGGUAGCGAACAGGAUUAGAUACCCUGGUAGUCCAUGCCGUAAACGGUGGGCGCUAGGUGUAGGGGGCUUCCACGUCUUCUGUGCCGUAGCUAACGCAUUAAGCGCCCCGCCUGGGGAGUACGGCCGCAAGGNUA
RNAcentral lists this ribosomal RNA (530 nucleotides) under uncultured bacterium. RNAcentral describes it as "bacterial SSU rRNA". It matches the Rfam family "Bacterial small subunit ribosomal RNA", at positions 355 to 896 of the family's 1533-position model. The record is from RNAcentral.